CUAGUUAGUCUAUAUCCUCUCCUUUAUAAGAACCUCCACAUUUCAUAAUUAUUCUCACACAUCCUAAACAAAGCAUUCUCUCAAUCUCUAAAUUUCCUCAUUUUUCUACAAACAAUGGAGAACAAGGGUAUGAGCACCUCCAUAAUGAAGAUAUCACUUACAUUAUUCCUAGUAAGCAUGGCCAUUUUGGCACCAUCAGCCACGGCUCGGAUGGAGGCAGCAGCACCUAGUCCAUUAGCACUAGAAGAUCUAUCUUUCUCUAACUGCACACCAUUUAUUUUAGAGGCAACAAUGUGUGUAGUAGGCGUGAUAAAAUUCCCGGUUGCUCCUCAUCCUUCGUGUUGCAAAGCUAUUUCUGAUCUCGACGAUUGUUCUCCGGAAACUUACCAACAUAUUCCUGGCAUGGACAUUAUUAAAAAAAUUUGUAGUCUGUCAAGCACUUUCUGUCUUGACAAUCAAAAGGUUCUUCAAGCAAAUUGAACCAUUUUGAAUAAGAAAGUUAUGUUUAUGUGAUUGUGAGUUUUCUUUUUUCCUACAGUACUAUUGCAGUACCAUCUAUAAAACUUAAUAAAACAUACAUCUUUAACAAGAUUUAGAGUGUACUUGAAAAUCUCUGCAUAAUCAACAACACUAAAAUCUUCAUAGCCAAUUUAGUUUUAGUACAUACACAAAAGAUUUAAGAAACGGAAUUAUAGUCUAUGCAUAACAAUCUAAACUUUCUUACAAGUUUCCAGAUUUCAAGAUUUUCUGUUUUCUAGCAAUAGAGAAAAAAAAGAGUCAAACCAUUUGUUUUCAGGAUUUGUAGAGCAUCAAACAACAAAAGACAUUAAACAUAAUCAAAUAACUCCCAACUAGGUUAGUAAAUUAGCUAUAGAAAAGCAACAUAGAUUCUUAUCAUCUCAAAAAUCUUCAUAAAACAUACAUCUUCAACAACAGAUCUACAAAUACUAUAUCAAAACCACACAAAAUACAACAACAGUAACCAAAGUCUUCAGAUCUAAAAUUUUACCAAGUCUUUCAAAAGUCAACACUUCCAUAAAGCAAGCGAAUCACAUAAAGAAUCACAAAUGAAGAUCAAAACCGAAUAAACCUGAUUAUCUUUCUCUCAUGUGGACACGUGUGUAAGUUUCCACAAGAAUAUUUCCCUUCCACACAAACAAAAGUAAAAUCAUAUUUUACUCAAAUCAUCAGUUACAUAGUUAUGAGCGUAUAGAAAGGAUAAACCAACUUCGUCUUGAGGUAAGAUAAAUGUGUGAAUAACAUACCUGGCCUAGGAGGAUAUCAUACAUGAUGAAAAAAGAAGUUAACAAAGGCAAUUUUAGAGAAAGGAGGAAAACAUACAUGAUGACAAGAAAAUUUAGGUUUAAGAUAGUUAUGAGGGUAUAGAAAAGAUAAACCAUCGUCGUCUUGUGGUAUAAUUAGUUUUAUGUUGCACCACAUGAAAAAAGAAGUUGACAAACGCAAUAUUGCUAUAAUAGAGAGAUUAUAACAAUAUUAAUAUUAGAGAGAUAUAUCUAAUAUAAGUAAGCAUAAAUAGCAACAUAAUUUAUAUAAUUCAACAACCCUUGAUAAAGGAGGAAAACAUCAAACCUAUGUCUAUACAAAUGAAAACCAAUAUAUAUGUACUUAGAACCGAAGAAAUAUAAAAACAAUUAGAGAGAUCUCACACUUACUUGAAAAAAUUUCGUCAACUCACAUUUUCAUGUUAACAUGGUUCUCAACCUAGCUCAAAGUGUUUGUAUGAGUUUGAUAUCAAACCAAGGCAACAAAUAUAACCGUUCUAAAUACAAGAACUUUAAGUACAACACAUAAUAUUUUUAAAAAAGAGCUAAAGGUAAUUCACAUCAUAAAGUAACCUUGUUUCUUUGCUUCUCAACCUAGCUCAAAGUGUUUGUAUAAGUUUGAUAUCAAACCAAGGCAGCAAAUAUAAAUGUUCUAAAUGCAAGAACUUUAAAUACAACACAUAAUAUUUUAAAAAAUAGCUAGUAGAUUAGUUUCAGUUGAAAACAAAAGGUGGAUUUUAGUUUAGAAUUACGUGAGAAUUAGUGUUGAAAAAGAUUGUUGUACUACCUUAUUAGUAGAUGAGUAACACCUUGAAAAUGCAUCAAGAAUCUACAAAAUUAUUUAACAUUAGUAGUUAAGAUGCAGAAAAUAUUAUGAAAUAUAAUGUUGGGAAAUAUUGUGACUUUUAAAAGAACUAGACAUUUUUAAACAAAAGAGAGAGCUCAUAUAUAUUUUCUUUAUAAUUUAGCCAUAAGGUAUAGAAUGAAAAGUAUUUUAUAACUAGCUGAGAUGAGACACCAAAUUCAUUUUGCUUUGGUUCAUAUUAAUCACAUCAUAGCUACCAUUUACAACAUUUCUAUCUUCACCAAACUCAAUUCUCCCUCUUAAACCAUUGAAACACUUUACCCAAUUGAAUUCUAAGUAAAUCUCACUCUCUAUCGAACACUUUAACUUUGCUAAAUUGAAUUCCACUUUCAUUAUAACCAAACACUUUACAAGCAACAAUAAAGACUACAACAAGGAAAGAAAGCGAAGAAAAAAGGAAAAAAAAACUUGAACAAACCUAGCCGACGGAAAAGAGGGCUUUUCCGUGGUCAUAGGUCGUCGGUCGAAUUAGUCGUGGGUUGUCGUUGAUGUGUGAUCGACCGGUGGAGGGGGAAAGAUUGGAUUGGGUUUUUGGAAAGGGUUUUCGUGAAGAUGGUAAAGAGAAGGGAUAAAUAAAAAGGAAGAUAUAGUUAAUAAAUUCUUUAAUGAAAAGUUGAAGGAAAUUGGAAAAUUUGAAAAACAUUUAAGUUUGUUGCUAAAAUUAUUUAAUUUUUAGUGACAUUAUUGUCGUGUGUUACUAAUUCUCUUAGUGACGUGGAUUAAAAAUGUGCCGUUAAUAAUAAUCUUUUGUGACAAAUUUUUUUGCGUCACUGUAUACGAAUUUUUACCGCAAAAAUUACUUGCACCACUAAAACUUUGUCACUGAAAAAUAAAUUUCUUGUAGUGAAACACCGACAUUGUUUUUUUAAAUAAGUUACUAUGGACCGUUUGGUGCACCUAAAUCUUCACUAGGUGGACACCUCCCACUCUUGUCAAUUAUUAAGUAGUUUAUAAUGAUUACCAUCAUAAUUGUCAUGUGAUUACCUUAAAUUUUUUGUCAAGUGGUAAAUAUUUUUUUACUACAUUAUGAUGAUUAUCAUUUAUGUAGCUUACAAUUUUUUUUCGCCAAUUACUAAUAGUUUCUAAUUACCAUCCAUUCUUGUAAUCUACAUAACACAUUGUCGAUCAUCCCAUUGCCACUAUGAAAAAUGACCAUAGUAACCUUAAUCACAGCAAUAAAAUACUGAGAUAGCUAUUUGACUACUGUUUGAUUGUCUUUUGGAUACUUUCUAAUUGACAUUUUAUUACUCUUUUUUAUCAUUGUAAUUUUUUAUAUUGUUUGAUUACCUUCUAAUUGUCACUUCCAUAGUUUUUUUUACACAUUUGAUUGCUUUUUUGUUCAUAAUAAUUUUUUUGUCGUAGUAAUAAAAUAUUAAUUAGAUACCAAUCACACAGUAAACAUAAAUUACUAAAUAUCUAAUAAAAUCUCACAUAAAAAAUAUUAUUCUUUUACUUUGGUAGUAUAUUACAUUCUAAAUUUUAUGUUUUUAUUUUACUGAUUUUUGUAACAACUAGCUAACUUAAAAGUAUUGAAAUUAAUGAAAGUAUGUUUUACAAUUUAAUCACAAAUAUUAUAGAUAUCGUAAACUUUGCUAUUCCAAUUAAAAGUAAAAGCAAAAAAAAAAAAGAAAAAUGGAAGAAGAGAAUUUUUAAUAAUGGAUUCAACAAAGAAAGAUUGUUCCAAACAUAAAUCACUCCCCAUUCUAAACUUAUAAAUAGAAAACAAAACAACGAUCCAUCACUACUAACAACAUUAUUCUUAGUCAUCAAAUCGCCAAUAAACCCUAAGAGAAACUUUUACUACUCUAAGCACAUAAAACAUCUCACAAUGCACAAAUGUUCUUAACCACAUCCAUGUCUGCAGAAGGAAUCGUUUGGAAAACUACAGGAGCACAGUCAUUGAGCUUAAAAAUGGCUUUGCAACAAAAAGGAUGAGGAGCAAUUGGAAACUUGAAUACAUCGACCAAACACAGUGUCGCAUCCAAAAUAAACGGAGUACAACUGAAGAAGGAGAGAUCUUGCGAGAUUGAUGGAUCAAGUGUUGUAGACGACACCACCGUGCGGCCGGCCGUCGCGGAUGCUGCUAAAAUGGCUAUGGAGACAAUGAAUACUAAGGCUAACUUCAUUGGGGAUGCUUUCAGUGACUUCACUGCCAUUGUUUAGUUUAGAUGAGUUGUUGUUGAGGUCAAGAGAAGGGGAAAAGGCUCUACUUUGUUUGGGUGAGUAAGUUUGUGAUUAGUGAAGGUUCUUAUAUUGAGGUAGAUAUGGACUUCCUAUUUAUGGCAAUAGACAAAAUUAUGGGAAUUGUUUUUUCUCUUCAUAUGUUAAUAAUUAUAUAUAUAAUUUUAAUUCUAAUGUGUAAUGAUUAUUGUAUGCAAUAAAAGGAAAGUAACAUUUAUUUUUUUAUUUAGUACAAGAAAUGUAACUGUUAAAUUCUAUUUGGAUUAUUGUAUGCAAUAAUAUGAUGUUUUAUAUAACUCGAAAAUAUAUUAUGGGACUCAUUCAUUUAUUUUAGGGCCAAACAAUAUUCCUUUGCUAUCUAAUUUUAAGCUAAGGUUGGUUUAGGUUUAAAAACUUACUCUCAUAAUUACUUUGAUUUUGAUGACUUUUAAUUUCUACUAUGUGCUCCUCGGUAUUCAAUGUAUUGCACUGAUUUUGCUCCUUGAUUUUGGAGUUUUGAUUUCAUUAUAUCUAUUUACAUUUUCUAUUUAUUAUAUUUCAAUAAAUAUUAGGGAUCGAUUUUAGCCUAUUCAAAAUAAGAAGAGAUUCACAGUUGGUGAUGGUUUGAGAAAAUCCAAACUAACAACGUUAAUUUUUUUUAAAAAAAUCGAAAGCUUAAACGGACCUAAAUUAUUGAUCCAUCAACAAGGAGUAGUCUGUUUAUAUUUUUUUCAUAGUUGAGGUCGGUUUGAAGAUGUACUAAACUGACCAAGUUGGUUGACAGUAAUUUUGUCAAAAAAUCGACUCUAAAUGACUGAUUCUCACGACUUGUUUUCAUUGACUUUCAUCAACUAUUAAAAUUAUUUAAAAAAUUUACAUCCUAAUAUAUUACGUUAAUGUUGAAUACUAGAGGGAAAAAAGUAAAAUAUGGAGGAACCAAAUCAAAAUUAAAAAAUGAUGGUAAAAAUUUGAUAAUAUUUUAAUUUAUUUUGUUAUUUUUAAAGAUGCCUUUAUGUAUUUAUUUAGUUAGUAUUAAAUCAAUAAUUAGUUCAUUAAAAUAAAGACAAUUUUUUAAUAUUGUAAUUUAUUGAUAUUCUAAUUUCAAAUAUUAAGUAUCCAAGAAAAUAACAUAUAAUUAUAUAAACACAUGGUUACGUUUUUCUCUAAUGAACCUAAUACGUCUGAAUCCAAAAUACAUAUAAUUUUCUAAUAUGAAGUUAGAAUGUUAGAUGCACCGCCAUUUUGCCACGAACCCUUUGUGUAAUUGACAUAAAAACACAUGGUAGAUCAUAGUGCAAUUACUACUCAAAGAAUUUUAGUCAGAUUUAUAUGUAAAACUAACUGAGGUGUUCAUGUUGGGACAAAUUAACCAAAUAUAUUAAUAAAAAUAAAAGUAAUAAGACUACAAAAACUUACAACAAUACACUAUGAUCGCCUAUACUUAUUCCACGUUGAACCCAAAUUUUAGUAACUCCAAAGUUCAAAGUUAAUAUAAAAGAAUUACAGUUUUCAAUGGCUACCAAACGUUUCCAAACUUUUUAUAUGUGACCAUCUAUAUAUAUCCAACCUCUACUCCCUAGUUUUCUCCCACAAACCAAAUAGAGCUAUUCCUUUUGAGUGUAAGAAUCUCAUUCAAUCCUUCCAUUGACUUUCGAGAGGGAGUUCGAAAAAUAAAUACAGUUCAAUUCAUCAUGAAUUAAAUGGAUAGAACUAUUUAGUUAAGGUUCAAAAUUACUAAUUUAUAUGAACUAAAUGGGUAGAAGUCUAUUUCCGAUUAAGAUUUAAUAAGAACCCUAAAUAGUUUAUUAUAAGGAGCGGCCAUGGCUUUGUGAGCGAGAAGCGUAAAAUUAGGGUGACGUCACUACAAGAAAAAGUACAUAUUAUGACAGUUGUAUAUUGCGGGAAAAUACAGAAUUUUUCGAAUUCUACUUUCCGCGAUAGUUAUUUGUUGUCACGAAAGGUAUAUAAAAUAUAAUUUAUUUAUUUAUUAAAAUAAAAUUCAUUUUAAAUAAAAUAUUAAAUCACAAUUUCCCCCAAUUCUUAAACCCUCGCGCAAACUUCACCCUCACCCUUCGCUCACGAUUUGACAUCCAUCCUCAAUCCGACCACCACGUCCCAUAUCCGAACAUCGUCGACCAUCUCCAACAGACACAUAAUGGGAGUCAACAAAUCAAGAGCUUAGAGAUUCAAGAGAUUAAGCUUUUACAGCUUCCUUCUGUUUGUCACUUGAAAAGCUUUAGUGCUAUUGUCCAAGUAAUUUCUCUUCCAAUCCUCUCUUUUUCUUUCUUUUUUUUCUUAAAUUUAAUUUAUAUUUGCUAAGUUGCUUGAUUAUUUAGCAGCUAUUUUGUUUUUGGUGUUUGGUUCGUUAAAAGUAAGGUUACUUUUUUUUGAAUCAUGAUUUGAAAUUCAAUUUCAAGUAUAAAAGUUCCUUUUUUGGUCAAACUUCAUUAAAGAAAGAAUAAAAUUUGAAUAACUAUUUUUUCUUCCAUAUUUUGGUUUGGUUUUUAUGAAAGAGAUUUAGGAGUUUUGGCUUAGUUUUUGAACAUGAAUAAAAAGUAGAAGAGAUUUAGGAGUCUAUAUUCAUGAGUUUAAUUUUAAAGAAACUGUAAAUAAAUUUCAACUAGUACCAAAAUAUCUGUAAUUAAUAGUGCAGCAAAUCCAGGAAGCUGAAGAUGAAACAUAGUAGAACUUAGGUAACUGACAGUGGAUGAAAUUCUUUUGCAGUGGAAAGCAAAUGAACUAACCCCACUUGCUCUUAUGAAAUCUAUACAUAGGGAGGGAAGGGGAGGGGUGUUGCUUUUUUUCUCUUUUUUUCUUUUUUUUGUUGGGUGUAACAGAAAAAUGGUCAUAUAACCCUUAAGUGGACUAUUGUCUUAAGUCCACGUGAAAGAGGAGGUUAGGUAUCAACAACAUUUAGAAUACAAAUUUCAUCCUACUUUGCAAAUGGUUAUGGAGAUUCCAAUCGGAGCCAAACGCCCUCGGGAGAAAAAUUGUUCCAAGCUAAUUAGAAGUGUAGUACCAUAGCAACUAUAUUGGCUCUACACCUAUUGAUAGUAGAAAAUGUAGUGCAAAAGCUCCCUGAAAAGCUAUUGUUAACUGUUUGAGCUGGUUUGAAAAUCACUACAAUUGGAAAAUCAACAAUAUAUGGCGAACUUAUUUCCUUUUAACCCUAUGUUUGCUAAAUUCCCUCGGCACUUUGCUCUUUGUCAAUCCAAAAAUGAUUCAAUCAAAGAUCUAUGGGACUGCUCAAUCAAUCAGUGGCAGCUUUUUAAAUCCCAGAAGGCCUUUCAAUGCCACAGAACUACAAUCAUGGAAUGAGAUUAAGAACAUUCUUCCAACCCCUCGUCAGGACGAAGGUAGUAGGAAACCAAUUUGGAAUUUGAGUAAAGAUAAUUUGUUCUCAAUCACCUAUGUCAAGGAAGCUUUAGAGUCGAAUGCUCACUCUUUUUCCAUGGACUUCCAUCGACAUCACUGCUCAAACCUUUGUCAUUUCCAAGAAAUGCAAAUUUUUCAGUUGGUGUAUCAUCCAUGGGGAAUUAACACCAUGAAGAUUUUGCAAAAGAGAAAUCCAAAUUCUUACCUAAAUCCCUACUGGUGCACACUCUGUCAGUCUAAUAGUGAGGGGAUCGAUCACCUGUUUGUUAACUACAGGACCAUAGCUUCCCUUUGGUCUCUCCCCUUGUUUCCUCUAAAAAAGGACUUUGGCUCAUAUUUUUUAAUAUUUAAUUUCUGUAUAUUCCUUUACAAACUUUAAAAUUACAUUUUAAUAUUGUUUCAACUUCAAACUAAUUCGAAUUUAGGAUUAUUGUUGUGGGUUUUAUAAUAAUUGGUAUUAGUUUAGUUUCUAAUCAAAAAAUCAGUUUUAAAGUAAAAUAUUGUUGGAUAAAUUUUAAUUUCAAUUUGAAACUUUUACAUUAUGCUUAUCACUUUAAUUAUUUACGUACUGAUAAUUCAUUUAUUCAUUUAUAAUUUCUUCCAUUCAUGAAUCUGAAAGUUGUUGUAUAGAUUAUAAUAAAUUCAUUAAUAAUUUGAUUUAUUAACGUAAUAAUUCGAGUUCAAAAUGAAUAACAAAUCAAUAUCACAUUUAAAUGAGAUAGAUUUUAAAAACAUGAAAGUAUUAUUAAGAAAUACUUAAAAAAAUUGGAAGUUAAUAUAUAUAUCAAUAAGGAUGCACCUUCACACCCGAAGAAUUCUAUGUUUGGAUUAAAUAAGGAUGGUAGUCUUUUGUAAAUUUAUUUGAAAUUUUAUAUAACUAGAAGUUGAUAAAAAAAUUGAGAAAUUGUGUAAAAAAUUGAUUUAAGAUUUAGAAAAAGAGUGUGAUUUUAAUUAUUUCAAAAUGUUUUGAAUGAACAAACAUGGGAGUUUAUAUAUAUACAUAACAUAUUGCAGAGAGAACAAAGAAUAUUGAACGAAAAUGGUAAUUCUCAUUUAAUUUAACAGGAUAAGAACAAAGAGUUUGGUCCAGCAAAAUCUACUCCCCUCCUCUCAAAUUUUAUAAGAACAUAGUACUGUAGAAAAACAACAGAAGAAAACAAACUUAUUCUCACAUAUAACAUUCUUAUUCAUCAUGUUCUAAUUGGAAGUUCAAAUCUUCUUACAGACCACAAAUCUUCUUAAUCAUAUCCAUGUCAGAAGAAGGAAUCUUUUGAUAAAUUUCGGGGGCACAGUCGUUAAGCUUAGAAAUGGCUUUGCAACAAGAAGGGUGAGGUGCAAUUGGAAACUUGAUAACGUCUGCCACACACAACGUUGCUUCUAAAAUAAAAGGAGCACAUUUUAGAAAAGAAUUUUGUGGUUCUAAUAAUGGACUAGGUGCCGCAGUUGUCGUGUCGGCCAUCGUCGUGGAUGGAGCUAAAAUGGCCAUGCAGACCAGAAAUACAAGCACGAGCUUCAUUGGGGAUAUGUUAAAGCGACUUGGCUGCCAGUGUUUGUAGGAAAACAAGUGUGGAGGCCUACGGAAUCUUCAGUUUUGUUGGGGUGAGAAAGUUGUGUGAAUUAGGAGCUUCUUAUAUAGGGGAAAUAUGGAGUGGAGAUUUUGGCAUCUUUAUGCUCAUUGAUAUUACUACUGCUUUUGUUCAUGUAACUUUCUUGCUUAUGAACUUUAACACCGUUAUAACUCAAUUAUUGUUAAUACAUAUGACCUAAUUAGCUGUUAAAAAUGAGUGAUAGUUCCCUCUAUCAUUUUUUCUUUCAUUACCAUAAGAAGAAAACUAAGUCUUCAUUUUCAAAUUUUAUGCGUUUUUUGGUUUUACUCUCAUACCCUUAGGUAAAGAGAGAGAGUGAAAUAUAUGGAAGAAAACAGAAAGAAACAAAAGAAAAGGAACCAACUACCAACAAAAAUGCGAAUGGGCAAAUGAUAUUUAAUGGACUCCAAUUUUAUUUCUAUGUAUAUAGUGGAGAUACCAUAUUUCUAAAACUUCUUUCCUUUUAAUUGUUUUCUGUUUUUUUUUUAAAAAAAAAUUAAAUAAAGUGUUUGAUAAUCAACUUUUUUUUUUCUUUUCAUGGGAGAAACCUGUUUUUAAAAUUAAGUACCAAAAUUUAAAAUAACUAAAAAAAACUUUCAAAAAAUAUAUUAUAUUUAUUUUAGAAAAAAAAUACAAAAUUGGCUGCCAAAUAUAUAUGACUUUUGUUUUUAAUAAGCAAAAAUUUAAAAACAGAAAAAAGAAAGUUGAAAUAGUUACCAAACAAAACUUUCAUUUUCUCGUUUUUCAAAACAUUGGUAAAACGUAGAUAACAAUACAAAUGAGUUUGAAGAUUAAAAUGAUUAUUAUAGAGGCUUUAUUUCAAAUUACUUAGGUUUCUUUUGAUAACUGUUUGUUUUUCCUUUCCGUGCUUCAAAAUUAAAUUGAGCUUAUAAACAGUAUUCCACCGACCGAAAAACUAUGCAAAAUUUUAAAAAUUAUAAAAAGAAUAUAUAGUUUUAAGAUUUAGCUAAAAAUUCAACUAAAAACAUCAUAAUACAUUUAGAGUAAAUGUGUCCCAUUUUACAUGAUGUGGGGAUAGCUCAGUUGGGAGAGCGUCAGACUGAAGAUCUAAAGGUCACGUGUUCGAUCCACGUUCACCGCAUAUAUUUUAGGUUAUCUGUAUCCUAGCAGAUGUUUUUUUUUUUUUUUUUUUUUUUUCUACACAUACACCUUUCUCACUCUCAAUUACCAUGUGAUCCAUUUCAAUUAGUUGGAAGCUCUAGAAAUUGCUAUACCUAAUGUAAGGUCCCGAUCACAUACUUUGAAAUUGCUAUACCUAAUGUGACCCAACUGUCAGUAGGUUGACAAUUAUUGACCCAACUGUCCAAUUCAAGCUCAGGAUAAGGGAUUGAAAGAGGCACAUGGCGUGUUUUGAGAUUGGGUCACUCUUCGUUGCCAGUUAGAGAAAUCAUUUUAUCAUAGAAAAACUUGCCGGACGAAUCUAUAAUUAGAGGAAUUCGAGUCAUUUAGAGGUUGCUUUUACCCUUAUUUUGUUAAGAAAGGACUAGAGAGGUAUCCAAAAAUUCCGAGAAAUGUAAGGGAGACUUUGCAUGUCCUAGGAAGCUAGUUGUCUAUGACUGUGAGUUUGUUCUCCUUGGUAAAUGUUUCCAAGUGAAAAAGGGUUUUAAAAUGUGUUUAAAAUCCUGAAUAUAUUCUUUGAAACCAUAAACUACACAUGAUUUUCAUUAUGUUCUUUCAUCUCUAAAAUGUAAGCGAUUUAGAAUAAAGGGAAAAGAAGUAUUUUAUAAAUAACCUUCUAGCUAAAGGAAUACUGUGAAAGCAUCCUCUUUGAGUCAGAUGUUGUAUUACGAUUAAAUGCGUAGAAGUUAAUGUUGACGUCAUGUCUUGAAAUACUGAUUAUAUAAUGUUGUAUAAUGCACUUGUACCACAUGUAACAUGAGAUACCUUAUCCUUGUUGUGUGGCCUAGGAUAAGAUGUUUUAUUCUUGUUGUGUAAUACUACGAGAAAAGGGGGAUCUCCCAACGCAUAAAAGCGUCGGGAGAUAUACGAAAAAGCGUCGUAGAAAAAAAUAUUUCAAAGUAUAAAUGUGCGUCAGAUCGAAGUCGGGCAAAAUGAAGCACAAAUAACACUCACAUCAUAUUGUGCAAAAUAUUUCAAAGUAUAAAUGUGCAUCGGAUCGAAGUCGGGCAAAAUGAAGCACAAAUAACACUCACAUCAUAUUGGGCAUCAAGAGAUCCUCUAUUUUAGAAAAAAAAAUCUUCCAUUAUUAAAUGGAAGGUAUUAUGUAUCUAGCUUGAGAUUUCUCACGUUUCAAGAGUAACAAUGCAGAUUUUCGAUUUCCUCAUCCAAAUAAGAACAUAGAAUAUGCCAUUGAUGCUUUAUGAUAUAUGUCAUGGAUCUAAAGCACAAAUACGCCCAAUUCGGACAAAAUGGACUUCACAACCCACAGUUUGACCUCAUCAUCAUUGAUCUGAAGCACAAAUCAUUAACUCCAAAGUCAAAAUACAAAACAAUGGAUGAAGGAAAGUAAAUCUUACCAUUCAAAGCAUUCUUUCUCACCAUCCAAAAGAAUGGAUCUAAACGGAUCUACGAAAAUUCUACGAAUAUCCAAAAAAUUUCAAUGGUUGUUCUUCACUCUCUCGACCUCAGCUUAAUCUUAUGAAAAAAAACCCUAAUUUUGCCAAACCCUUAAAAUUUUUCAUUCAAAGAAGAAUUGUUGGAAAUCUAGAACAAGAAGGAUGAAACAAAUUUGCUAACCUUUUAACAUCAACGAGAGAAGUCUAUGAGAAUGUAGAAACUGAGUGAAGAAGAAAGUAUAAGAUGCCCUAUUCAAAUUGUGUGAUCUUGUUAGGAUGCCUCAUACUUACUGUGUGAUCUUGUAUGAGAUGCCCAUUUGCUUGUUGUGUAAUCUAACAUGGGAAGUCGUGUUAUGCGUAGAAAAAUUUAUGGUACUUACCAUUGCGUUGAGAUUUCUCUACAUGGCUACAACUUAGCAAAAGAGUGUGUGGUAAAUGCUUGAGUCGGGGAGAGGGUACACAGAAAUGAAAUAGAUAGUAUAAAAUGAAUCCACAAAAUAACUAAUUUACAUUUUGCUGUAUUACCUGUUCGACAAAUGAUUAUGUGAUGAGAAGGCAAUUGAUUUACGUAAAGCAAUUGUUAAAAGAUCACACUGACUAGAUGUUUUCGUCUCACCCUUCCAAUGUUUGUUUUACUCCACACCCCACCCCCUCCAAUGUAGCGAAGGAGAUCUGGCAUAAAACUUGAUGUCUUGAUCGUCUAUCAUGCCUCAUGAAUCACAUUGUCUUGGUGGUGGCCAUUGUGAUUUCAUGUAGCAUGUAGAAGCUAGGCAAAAAAAAAUCAAGUUAUUAUUUGAGUCUGUAUUUCUUUUAACGAUUUGUGCACUAGAAAUCGAAUGUACUCUCUUAACUUGUCUAUCAAUGAAGUUCUUUUUUUGUUUCAUUAAAGUACGAAUUUCGCGUUUAACUCUGUAUUGUAAGAAGUUGUUCUGCUUACUAGGUGUUCAACAUACUAUCUCGCAUGAGGUGCAUAUGCAUGUUGAAUUAGUAUUGGAUUAUUUUUUAGUAGCGAAACUUACAUGCAUUCUAAGCACGAAUGAUUGUAUUGCAUGCAUCGUUAGAGUUGUUCGGAACAAAAUUAGUUUUUUUCAAAAAAUUAAUUAUGUCACUGUAAGUAAAAAUGUUAGUCGCCAACAUGAGUUUAUCAGUUCAAUUAGUACCUUUAUGUACUUAGUAAGCUAAGUUAGAUGAUGGGAAAAAUAGCUCGCUUUUUUAGUAAGAGUUGAAUAAUUUUUAUUUGUUAAUUCGUUAGCAUUUUCUUAAAAGACGUUUGGUUACUACGACUUUUAUGAAAAUAACAACUUUUUCUUUGAACUUUAGUAGGUAGUGAUUUUAGUCCAUGUAUUUUUAAUUUUGUAACGAUUUAUUUUUCGAACUUUAGUAUAAGUAACAAUUAGUUAGUCCCUAUACUUUGAAAUUUUGUAAUAUAUAUUUUUUUAACAACAAGAUGAGGAUUGGGAUCAAGAGGAGCAUCCAAUAGUCUCGACAAUGUUGAAACAGUUGAGCACCUACCAAACCCAAACCCACAUAAAGAAAAAUCAUUGCCACAAAAAGGAAUUCAUACUAAUAAGUAGAGACUAGAGGAAAGUCUUCCAAGGAUAUAAAACAAUGAUCUUGAGAUAAACUAGCUAUUAUAAAUAAAGGGAAAUAAGUCGGUAAUGAACUAGCAAAACAUAAAAGUCAUAGUGCAAAGUCAAACUACUCCUAAUAAGCUUAUGGAAAGAAAUAUAUACAAGUAGACCAAUCAAACCAAAGACUUAAAAAACUAGCAUCCUCAUAUAUAAAAUUUAAAUGUAAGUUUCUAUUAUGUAACUGUUCACACGAGAUUUUGAAGAAAUGUAAUUCGUUGAAUUCGACUUUGAUAUAUUAAUGAAUAUUGUGAAGACAAUCUCUAAUAUUUACUCAUUUGAUGUUUUUCCUCGAAUACAAGUUAAAAACUUAAAACUUCUUGGUCUUCGAUCUACAGAAUAUUUUAGUUGCAAGUCGAUUUGAACUUCGAUCUUCUGAAAUCCAAGGAAAGCUUAAUCUUCUAAGUCUUCAAUCUUUCAAAAGUUGUUGAUCUUGAGGUUGAUACAAACUUGAACGUCUUGAGAGCUUGUACAAGUUUGCAUCUCCAAUUCUUCAGAGCUUCGAUUAUUCUUUCAACCACAGACCUCCUUAACGAGUGACAAAUGUCUCUAUUUAUAGAGAAAUUUUGUGGGCUUUAGGUGGGCUUGGGCUCAUUUGCUUGUUGGACUUGAGCUUGGGUCCAUUUUCUUGACGGGCUCGGGCCCACUUGUUUGGCCCGAUUUUUCAUCAGGGGCUUGCAUUGGGUUGGAUAUGAGAAAACUUGCCUACCCAAAAUUCAAUCAAAUUUUAAUCAUCAUAAUUUGUUGUGAUGACAUGGAAAAAUUUAAUUGGCCGAAUAUUCUUUUCAAAUGUAACUUCGCCUUUAUAAUUAUUAAAAAGAUUAUUCUCGACCAAUUUAUGAAAAAAAAUCAUGUAUUAGAAAGUUCAUUAUAUUUUAAUAAUAUUAAAAUUUAAAACUAAAUUGUUGCAAAUAUAAAAAUAUAUGCAUACUCAUGUUAUUUUCAUAUAAGUUAUAAAGUCAAAUUGUUGUUUUCAUGGAGAGUUAAGUUGUAGCAACAUGAAAGUUCAAGGAAAGGGUUUUUUUUAACAUUUUUUUUCUCCAUUGGCACUCAAAUUGAGACUUGAGAAUUAAAAAAUGAAAUUUACAUAAUUAACGAGACUCAAAACAUAACAUAAGUAAUAAACAUUUUAAUUUGUUUAAAAUAAUAAAAUAUUUAGAAUUGUUUUCAAAUAUAGCAAAACUUUUUAAAAUAUUUAUAAAUAUAACAAAAUUGUAGUUUUCAUCACUAAUAGAUCCAAAAUAAACAUUUAUCACUCUAAUGAUAAACACUAAUAAAUUCAACAUCUAUUAUACACAGAAAAAGUAAGAUGUUAUAUUUGUGAAUACAAGAGAAUUCAUCUUCAUCUUUCAUGUGUCGCAACCGAGAGAAUCAUCAUUUUAUCUUCUAUGUGUUGCAGUCGAUAGGCUUCUCCAUGUUCAAGUUUGGCGUGAUAUCCAUCAUAAAAUUCAAGUCAAACUAAUGAUAAAGUUGGGUGUACUUUUAUCUUCAAUCUUGGUCGAUGUGCUCUAUCUUCAAGCUUUACGCUUCAAAAAAGGAAAUAAGUUAUUGUUUAAAAAAGAAAAAGGUAAACUAAAAGAAAUGAAAAAUGAAAAAGAACCAAAAAAAAAAGAAAGGAGAAAAGAAACAUAAAAUGAAGGAAGAAGAGGAAAGAAGGAAGAAGGAAGAGGAAGAAAAAGAAAAAGGAAGAAGAAGAAAGAAGGGGAAGAAAAAAAAAGAAAAGAAAGAAAAGAAACGAAAAGAAAAAGAGAAGAAUGAAGACGUCUGAUCGCUCCUUCUAAGGAGGUGAAUCUGACGACAAAAGUCUGAUCGUCUCUUUGAAGAAAUUGGAUCGCUGACGGCAAAGAAAAUUCGAGAAGCUCGAUCGCUCCUACUAGGGAGGUGGAUUUGAAUCGUUCCCUAGAAGAAGUUGGAUCACUGAUGGCGAAGUAGAUCGAGAUGCCGGAUCGCUUCUAUUAGGGAGGUGGAUCUAACAGCAAAAGUCUGAUCUCGUCCCUUAAAAGAAGUUAGAUCGCUGACGAUGAAGUAGAACCGAAAUGCCCGAUCGUUCCUACUAGGGAGGUGGAUUUGAAGGCCAAAGCCCGAUCGUCCCCUGAAAUAAGUUGGGUCACUAACUACGAAGCAAAAUCGAGAAGUCUGAUCUUUCCUACUAGGGAGGUGGAUCUGAUGGAAGAAGCUCAAUCAUCCUUUAGAAGAAGUUGGAUCGUGGACGACAAAGUAGAAUCGAGAUGCCCGAUCGUUCCUACUAAGGAAGUAGAUCUGACGGCCAAAGCCCGAUUGUCCCCUACUAGGAGUUGGAUCGCUGACGACGAAGAAGAAUUGAAAAGCCCGAUUGUCUCCUAGUAGAAGUUGGAUCGCUGAUAGCAAAGAAUAAUCGGGAUGCCCGAUCGUUCUUACUAAGGAGGUGGAUCUGACGGCAAAUGUCCAAUUGUCCUCUAGUAGAAGUUGGAUUGUUGAUAAUAGAGUCAUAGUUCAAACGUUUGCAUACAAAAAGAAAGGGAAGAAGAAGUUCUUACUUUUAGCUCCUGUAAAAAAAAAAGGGAAGGAAAAAAAAAAAAAGAAAAAAAGAGAGAGAGAAAGGGAGAAGAUAAAUUUUGUUGCUGGAUAAAGAGUAAAUGAUUAAGGUGUGAGUCUAUUUAUAAGGUCAACAAAUCCAAUUCUUAAAAGAAUUAGGAAUGAUAUUUAAUCAUUUUUUUUAUAACGAAUCUAAUUAUAAAAGGAUUAGGAAUGAUAUUUAAUCUUUUUUUAAUAAUAAAGAAAAGAUGAUCCAAUUAUCUUAUCUUAUUUUAAUUAUUUUCAAUAUUUAAAAUAGAAAAGAUAAUCCAAUUACUUUAUCUUAUUUUAUUUUUAGGACAAAUUUUGAAUUUAAUUUGUGAGAUAAUUAAAAUAUUUAAAUAUCUCAACAUUUUAAAAAAAAAUUAUUACUAAUUUUAAAAUUAAAAUUUGGGUUCAAAAUCCAAAAAUUAGCUUGGAUAUAUGGUUUCUUUUUAAUCUCAAGUAUAUAUUGGAGCCAUAAAUCCAACUUUAUCUCAAGAUUUAGGGUCUCAUUUUUAUCUCAAAUUAAAAUUGGUAAUUCCAAAUUAUUGUGCAUCCUCGAGAUAAAUUAAGGUAUGGUAGAGACUUCAUCCUUAUUUCAAAUUAAAAUUUUGGUUAUGUUCAAAAUUUUAUUUUUAAAAAUAUUAAAUUUAAAUUUUUAUCCCCAAAUCAAAUUAAAUGGUAAAACUUUGAAAUUUUAUCAAAUUAAUUAAGGUUUUGUCAUAUUACAUCCCUUAUUUCAAAUUGAAAUCAAACUCAUGUGCUAAAUUCAUAGUUUGGUUAAUUUGAUAUGUUAAAUUGAGCAAAAAAAAAAAAAAAAGCUCGUAUUUUGACUUCAAAUUUUUUUUUCAAUAUUCAUUCACCCAUAUACGUGCAUAAAUCUCGAAAGGGGCAUUUAUUUUAUAGAAAAUUUUGAGAUGAAUCACAAAUUGCCACGUCAUUUACUAAAUUAAUAAUGAAAAGUGCAAAUAAUUGAAUAUGAGACUAAUUAAAAAAUUAAUAUGUGUCCCAAAUUAAAAUUGAAAACAUAAAUUAGCCAAUUCUGAUAAUGUCAUGUGUUUUCAUCAUAACCGUUGGAUCAAGUUAAUUAUUUUCGUUCAAUUAAAUAUUUUUUACUUAGGUUAAGUUCAAUUGAGCCAAAAAAUAAGCUUAAUUGAGUCCAAAUGUAAAUAUGACUCAAAUCCUUGGUAUGAUCUAUGGAGUAACUAGGCUCAAGCUCUUAAAACCUACUAGAUAACUCUAUAAAUAGAGGAGCUCUCUUCAUUUGUAAGUGUUGGAAAUUUUUUACUUCAAAAAGUCUAGAGAGAAUUCUCCCAAGAACUGGAAGACUCCCUAACUCCUAAAGUCGACCGCCCUCGAAGAUUGGAGAUCCUUUGAAGAUACAAGAUUUCUUCCAAGACUCCAACUUCUACAAGCUUUCUUCUAAGAUUCCAACUUCCCUCAAAUAUUUAAGCUUCUUUGAAGAUACAAACUUUCUUCCAAGACUCCAACUUCAAGAACAUCAUGUGCUCUGUUUCCUCUAAUCAAACGUAAGCAUCCAACAGAGAAAGAAUUAGAGGAUUAAAUUCUAGAGAUCAAACCACAUCACAUCAAAUCAACUUAAGUUCAAAUCCACGAAUCAAGUUUCUUCGAAAAUCUCGUGCAAACAGACAUUAUAUCAUUUUUCUACUCUCUUUCUCUAAAAUCUUUUCUUUGUUCGAUUCUUUUAAAUUAUACUUAAAAGAAAAUUAAUGUCCUAUAUUUAUUAAAUAGUUACAUAAUUAAAAAAUUAAGUCAAGAAAAGGAUAAGGUAAAGAUAACCAAUAACAACGUAUACAAGUUUUCUCGAUUAUAGACGAGAUGAUGUAAACCUAAGAGUUAAGUAAUUAUUAAAAGGAAUUGUAUAGUUUAAAACUAAAGUGAAUUUGAUGUCUUGAGUUUUAAUCUUUCAUGAGAUGGAUAUGCAUUUUCGAUAACACAAAGGGAUUAUAUAUUAUAUAUUUUAUAGUUCCCUCUAAUUGUAUUUUUUUGUUUUUCAUUACUGUUCGAAUAAGAAAUUUUGAGACCAAUCACAAGUUGCCACAUCAUUUAUUAAGUUAAUGAUGAAAAGUACAAAUAAUUAAAUUUGGGACUAAUUAAAAUUGACAUAUGCUCCAAAUUAAAGAGUUAAAAAUAAAUAAAAUGGUCAUUCUAAUAAUGCCACAUGUUUUCAUAUUAAUAGUUGGAUUAAGUUAAUCAUUUUAGUUCAAUUAAAUAUUAUUUACUUGGACUAAGUUCAAUUAAGCCCAAAAAAUAAGCUUAAUUGAGCCCAAAGACUAAAUAUAACCUAAGUCCAUAUGGUUGAGCCCAUGGGUCUGGUCCAUUAGACCAACCAGGUUCAAACCCAUAAAGCCCACCAAUGAACUCUAUAAAUAGAGGAAUUCUCCUCAUUUGUAGGGGUUGGAAAAUUUUGACUCUAGAAGAUCCAUAGAGAAUUCUUCAAAGAGCUAGGAGACUCCCUAACUCCUGAAGUCGACCAUCCUCGAAGAUUGAGAUUGAAGCUUCUUUAAAGAUACAAGCUUUCUUCCAAGGCUUCAACUUCAAGAACAUCACGUGCUUCGCUUCCUCCAAAUCAAGCUGAAGCAUCCAGUUGAGAGAGAAUCAGAGGAUCAAAUUCUAGAGAUUGAACCGCAUCACAUCAAAUCAACAAAAAUACAACAUCAACUCCAACUUCAAGUCCACGAAUUAAAUUUCUCCGGAAAUCUCGUGCGAACAAAUUGGCACGCCCGGUGGGACCAUCUCUACCUCUCAUCUCUCUCUCAUCAUCUAGAUCUACAAGCAAAUCAAUGGCAUCAAAGAAAGCUGCAUCCAAAUCUUCAGCUGCAAGCGACACCUACACGGGACCUAUCACCCGUAGUCGUUCCAAGGGGAUCAUCCAAGGGCAAGAUCAAGGUUCCGCCAUCGCGCAGAGCAUCAUGAAGCAAUUGAUGGAAUCUCCUAGAGCUGGAAUUGUCAUCAAGGAAAAUCCUCUAUAUAAUGAUUAUGAUUCUGCAUCUAGCAGGUCACUGAAAGAAGCACACCCAGAUGUGAUGUCCGUCAUGAUGGCUGAUGUAGCAGUCGAGACUGCCAUGGCGGAGAUGGAGAGAAAAAUUAAUCUCCUGAUGAAGGUUGUUGAUGAACGAGACCACGAAAUUGCAGCUUUAAAGGAGCAGAUGCAGACUCGUGAAACUGCUGAAUCGAGUCAAAUGUGUUAAUGCGUCCGUGUAAAGUUGAUGACAAAGGGAAGAACGUCGUACAAGAAAAUCAGCCACAACAACAAUCAACUUCUGUGGCUUCUCUCUCGUUCAACAAUUACAAGAUAUGAUCACAAACUCCAUCAGAGCACAAUAUGGAGGCCCAUCUCAGACUUCUUUCAUGUACUCUAAACCAUACACCAAAAGAAUCGACAACUUGAGAAUGCCGCUUGGAUAUCAGCCUCCAAAAUUCCAGCAGUUUGACGGAAAGGGCAAUCCAAAACAGCACGUUGCUCACUUCGUCGAAACAUGUGAGAAUGCAGGAUCAAGAGGAGAUCAACUAGUCAGACAAUUUGUUCGAAGCUUGAAAGGAAAUGCUUUUGAAUGGUAUACUGAUCUGGAGCCAGAAAGCAUUGAGAGUUGGGAACAACUAGAAAAGGAGUUUCUCAAUCGCUUCUACAGCACCAGGCGUACUGUAAGCAUGAUGGAGCUUACAAAUACGAAACAAAGAAAGGGAGAACCAGUCAUCGACUACAUCAAUAGAUGGAGAGCUCUAAGUCUUGACUGUAAAGAUCGGCUCACCGAACUGUCGGCUGUAGAAAUGUGCACCCAAGGCAUGCACUGGGGACUCCUCUACAUUUUGCAGGGAAUAAAGCCCCGCACAUUUGAAGAACUGGCAACUCGAGCUCAUGAUAUGGAGUUGAGCAUCGCCAGUAGAGGAACUAAAGAUUUUCUUGUUCCUGAAGUAAAGAAAGAUAAGAAAGAGAUGAAAGGUGCUGAAAAGAUAGUGAAAAGCACGCGAAAGAAUCUAUGGUCGUAAACACAACCCCGCUGAAAUUCUCCAAAGGAAAGGAAGCGAGGGUUGAAAAGAAGGAUGAUGGAAGCGAAAGGCGACGUCUGACUUUAAAAGAAAGGCAGGAAAAAGUUUACCCAUUUCCUGAUUCAGAUAUCGCUGACAUGCUAGAGCAACUACUAGAGAAGCAGCUGAUCCAGCUGCCAGAAUGUAAACGACCUGAGCAAGCAGGAAAGGUAGAUGAUCCCAAUUACUGCAAGUAUCAUCGGGUCAUCAGUCAUCCAGUAGAGAAAUGCUUCGUGCUGAAGGAGCUAAUUCUAAGGUUGGCUCGUGAGAAAAGGAUUGAGCUAGAUUUGGAGGAAGUAGCUCAAACAAACCACGCUGAAGUGACGAUAAUGUCUGAGGCUUCUUCGUCGAGAUUGAUUUUUGAGCAAAGGAAAAGCUUGGUCCAGUUCGGGACCUUUGAGCCUAUAGUUGUCCAAUUCUUUCAGGAAAUCUCAUACGAGGAUCCUCAAGGAGAGAAAAGACCAAUCGAAGAAGACGAUGAAGGGUGGAUAGUGGUGACCCACCGAAAGAAAAGACAGUCGAUCCCGACCCAAAGAGAGUCUCGCUCUUACCAAAACUAUAGAAGAGGAAAUAAGACUCAAAAGAAUAAGAAAAAGAAGAAGACUCAUAAGCUUAAGCUCGUACAUAAUGAAGACAUGAAUUUCUCUCGACCUCAACGCUUAGUGACCUUGGCAGACUUCCUUCCAAAAAGCUUCCUUUGUGAUCAUCAGGAUGAAGACCCAGAAGUCGUUGCGUGUCAUGCUAUCAACACAACGGAGGAAGAAAUAAUCCCUCCAAGAUCACUAGAAGGAGAGGGAGUAUCAAAAGACCUUUCAAGGUUUAAUGUAGAGGAUCUAUUAUCACUUCCUCAAGAGACCAAAACCAUCCUUAUUGAUGCAUUGCUAAAUUCAAGAGCAUCAAGUUCGAGUACUCCGACUAUGACAUAUGAGAGUGGUUCUUAUUGUAUGUCUAUAGACUUCUCAGAUGAGGAUUUGUUGUUGGGAUCUAAACUUCAUAAUAGACCUUUGUAUGUUUCUGGAUACGUUCGAGAACAGAGAGUCGAUCGAAUCCUCAUUGAUAAUGGCUCAGCUGUCAACAUAAUGCCAAAGUCGACUAUGUGGCAAUUAGGCAUCUUGAUGGACGAGCUCUCAAAUAGCAAGCUAGUAAUUCAAGGUUUUAACCAAGGUAGCCAAAGAGCAAUAGGCAUGAUACGGUUAGAACUCAUAAUUGGCGACCUAAAGGCCAGUGCAUUGUUUCAUGUCAUAGACUCAAGGACUACUUACAAGUUGUUACUAGGGCGUCCUUGGAUUCAUGGAAACGGAGUAGUAACUUCAACACUGCAUCAGUGCUUCAAAUUUUAUCAGGACGGUGUAAAGAAGGUUGAAGCCGACUCUAAUCCAUUCUCAGAAGCUGAGUCUCACUUCGCAGAUGCAAAGUUUUAUUCAAAGAAUAAUAAUAUUUUAGAAGUUUUGCCUGCAGAAACCCCUCUUACAAAAGGAGAAGAUAAUUCACAACUGAAAUCACUCGCAACCACAGAACCACAUGAAAGUGCGAGAACCUUUAACUCUGGAAAGGGUGAAGCAUACACUAGCAGCACAAAGGGUAUGAUCUUGAAGGAUGAAAAUGCUGCAAACACACCAGUUUUGCGUUAUGUCCCUCUGUCAAGGCGCAAGAAAGGCGAAUCACCAUUCAUGGAGUCUCCAAAAGGUUUGAAAGUUGGUGACAUCGAAAUCAUAAAAGAAAGCUUCACUACACCACUAACUAAGAUAGCGAAGCAGGAGGUAAAGGUAGAUCUGGUGGAAGCAAACUUGCCCCAAAGGCGAACGAAAGACGGAUUCGACCCCAAGGCUUACAAAUUGAUGGCGAAAGCAGGUUAUGACUUCACAGCUCACACCGAGUUUAAAAGCUUGGAAAUUCAUGACCGACCUGAGCUCUCCUCAACUCAAAAGAAGCUUCUACGGGAAGGACAUUCUAUACCCGUGUCGAGAAAAGGACUCGGAUACAAGUCGCCAGAACCGAUCCGUAUAACUAAAAAGGGGAAGGAAAAAGUGGUUGACAUCAAUCAUAUAACUAUAGAGGAGGAUGACAAUACUGACGUAAAAGAAGGUGAUAAUCAGAGAAUCUCAGUAUUUGAUCGAAUUAGACCAUCUGUUGCACGUCCCGUAGUAUUUGAAAGGCUAAGCAUGACAGAGGCAGAAAGAGAAAGGCUCCAGUCAGUACCAAACCUUGAGAGACAUUCGGUCUUUCGAAGGCUAACUACGACUCCCAUAAAGGAAGAAAGCACAUGCCAUGCCUUGACAACUACAAGACCAUCAGCCUUUGAAAGGGUAUGUGUCUAAAAAGAAAAAUGUACAAGCACCCCGUGCUCCGAUUUUUAAUCAUCUCGGGGAUAAAGGAUCACACGACAACAUUGAUUCCAACAUAGAUACAAAGAAGAAGGAACCAAUGUCUCGUGUGAAAGUUUGGCGUCGAAUUAAGCAUACAGAUGUCGAUAAUUAUCGUAGUAAGAAGUUUCCUUGCGAGACAAAGGAAAAUGGAGAAAUUCAUAGCAACGUUCCUUCUCGCAUGAAAAGAAAAACUUUUGUUACUCUCAAUACAAGUCAAGGUUCGUUAAAGGUAAAAAGACAUGACAAACCACUAAUAUUGUACAUUGCUGCACAAGAAAGGUCCUUAGGAGCAUUACUGGCACAAGAAGAGGUAAAGGGAAAGGAGCGUUCUCUCUACUAUCUAAUCAGAACAUUAAUUGGGGCUGAAGUUAACUAUUCUCCUAUCGAAAAGAUGUGUCUUGCACUUUUCUUUGCCAUUGAUAAGUUGAGGCAUUACAUGCAGGCCUUCACGGUUCAUCUAGUGGCAAAAGCAGACCCUAUAAAGUAUGUUCUAUCCAGGCCAAUCAUCUCUGGACGCUUAGCCAAAUGGGCGGUUCUACUCCAACAAUAUGACAUUGUCUAUAUUCCCCAAAAGGCGAUAAAAGGACAAGCGCUAGCAGACUUUUUAGUAGACCACCCAAUUCCUUCGGAUUGGAAGUUAUGUGAUGACCUACCAGACGAUGAGGUUUUCUUCACAGAGUUAUGGAACCUUGGACUAUGUACUUCGAUGGUGCAGCUCGAAGAAGUGGUGCGGGGGCAGGCAUUGUCCUCAUUUCUCUUGAGAAGCAUAUGUUGCCUUAUAGCUUUGCACUUUCUGAAUUGUGUUCAAACAAUGUGGCUGAAUAUCAGGCUUUGAUAAUUGGCCUUCAAAUAGCAUUAGAAAUCGGAGUGUCAUUCAUAGAGGUCUAUGGUGAUUCAAAAUUGAUGAUCAAUCAACUCUCGCUUCAAUAUGACGUGAAACAUGAAGACUUGAAGCCAUAUUUUGCUUAUGCUCGACAAUUGAUGGAAAAGUUUGAUAAUGUGAUGUUAGAACAUGUCCCUAGAGUAGAAAAUAAGAGAGCGGAUGCAUUGGCAAAUUUAGCCACGACCUUGACCAUGCCAGAUGAUGUAACUCUGAACAUACCACUUUGUCAACGAUGGAUUAUACCCCCAGUUAGGCCUGAAUGUCAGGAAGUGAAUAUGGCAACAUCCUAUUUGAUUGAUGAAGAAGAUUGGCGUCAACCCAUCAUAGAGUAUCUUGAACAUGGAAAGCUUCUAAAGGAUUCUCGUCAUAAAAUUGAGAUACGAAGAAGGGCAGCACACUUCAUUUAUUACAAGGGAACUUUAUAUCGUCGUUCUCUUGAAGGGCUCUUCCUUCGAUGUCUCGAAAAGGAAGAUUCGGUAAAAGCUCUAAAGGAAGUACAUGCAGGUGUUUGUGGAGCACAUCAAUCGGGAUCAAAGCUUCAAUUCCAGCUAAGAAGAAUGGGCUACUACUGGCCUAAGAUGAUCCAAGAUUCAAUAGACUAUGUGAAGAAGUGUGAGCCUUGUCAAUACCAUGCAAACUUCAUACACCAACCUUCAGAACCUCUUCAUCCAACUGUGGCUUCUUGGCCUUUUGAGGCUUGGGGACUCGAUCUGGUUGGCCCCAUUACACCAAAAUCAUCAGCAGGACAUUCUUAUAUCCUAGCAGCAACAGACUAUUUUUCAAGUGGGCUGAGGCCAUUUCCUUGAGAGAAGCCAAGAAGGAGAACGUGGCAUACUUUAUUCGAACACACAUCAUCUAUCGAUACGGUGUUCCACAUCGAAUCGUGACGGAUAAUGGAAAGCAAUUCUCCAAUAGUAUGAUGGACAAGUUAUGUGAAAAAUUCAAAUUCAAGCAAUAUAAGUCAUCCAUGUACAACGCAGCUGCGAAUGGACUAGCAGAAGCAUUCAACAAAACAUUGUGUAAUCUUUUAAAGAAAAUUGUCUCCAAGUCAAAGAGGAAUUGACAAGAAAAGAUCGGCGAGGCAUUAUGGGCUUAUCGGACGACUCAUCGCACCCCUACAGGGGUUACACCAUAUUCGCUUGUUUACGGUGUGGAGGCUGUCCUUCCUCUCGAAAGGGAAAUUCCGUCACUAAGAAUGGCAGUACAAGAGGGAUUGACUACCGAAGAUAAUGUGAAGUUACGUCUUCAAGAAUUAGAAGCACUUGACGAAAAGCGAUUAGAGGCUCAGCAAGCAUUGGAAUGUUAUCAAGCGAGAAUGUCCAAAGCUUUUGAUAAACACGUUAAACCUCGCUCCUUUCAAGUCGGUGAUCUAGUACUUGCCGUAAGGAGACCGAUCAUCACAACAAGGCAUACAGGAAAUAAGUUCACACCUAAAUGGGAUGGACCCUACAUUGUUAAAGAAGUUUAUACAAAUGGCGCAUACAAGAUCGUUGAUCAAGACGGACUACGAAUUGGCCCAAUCAAUGGUAAAUUUCUUAAAAAAAUUUAUGCUUAAUUUUGUUAGGUAAAAAAAAAAAAAAAAAGUUGAACUACGUUAUGACUUGAUCCCUAUAUUAUAAAUGGUACGUAGGCAGCUUAAGGAAAACCUUAAGCCCAGUCCAGCAAAAAAAGGUUGAACUACGUUACGACUUGAUCCCUAUAUUAUAAAGGGUACGUAGGCAGCUUGAAGGAAACUUUAAGUUCAGUCCAAAAAAAAAAAAGAGGGAAGAAAGACAAAUUACAUUUAAUAGAAAAUAUGAUGAGGAGUGGAACAAUGAAAGAAUAAUUUUUAUUAUUAUGAACUUCUAGCAAAAAAAAAAAAAAUUAAAAAGGCAUAAGUAGAUAAAUAAGAGAAAGCAGAGAAUCAUGGAGUCCAUUUAAAGUUCUUCAGCUCCUCUAGUGUGCUUUCUAAAGAUUCACGAAGUGUUGAUAGCAUUUUAGCAUCAAUAUCUCCAACGAUCGGGGCACAUUCGAGUUUGUCAAUUUCCUCACAAGUCUUCGAAAUCUCAUGUUGCUUCUGCUUCAGCUCCAGGUCGUUCUUAAAAAUUAUUCCAGAAAGUUUAGCAGACUCAGCCCGCACCAUCUUUAGUUUUGCCUCUAGUUUAGCCUCCUUGGCGGACAGUCGUGUAAGACGACGUUUAGCAGUGUUGGUCUCUGCCAAUAUACGAUUCUCAUCAACUCGCAGAGUCUUCACAAAACCUUUUGCCUCCGUUAGCUGAACAUCCUUAGUUGAUUGGAGUAGAAAUGAGGAAUGUAUUUGAUUAUGGUUCUCGACACCUUGGAAGUAACCAUUCACAAGCUCCCUCAAAACAAUAAGGUUGUCGCUGCCGCUAGUCGCAAUCGCAUCAAAGAUCUUAUGCAUUUCUGGUUCAAGACUACUCAGUCGUUCAAAAGGGGUACGAAUGAUCUUCUGUCGUAGGUUUUCCCAUAAGGUUAUGGCAGCCUGUCGUCGGAGGUCAGAAAUUAAGCUGUCAGCACAAAAAUGAGAAAUCUCAGAAACUGUAAUAGGCUCCGUGCCUUCCACUUUUUGAGGAGGUCCCUUGAUCACAGGAGGACAAGCAGACACAAUAUUUGCGCCUAUAGGUUCCUUAGAGUUUCCAUUAUAAGAAAGUACAAUGUUACAGUCUUCUAGAUUCGGCAUCGACUCUAGGGUAUCUUCGAUGUGUAGGUCGUGAUCACCUAAAGAAGACUGCAAAAUAAUAUUAACAACAAGAAAUAAGAGGAGUAAAGGAGAGAAAAUACAAUAAAUAAAAAAAUAAAAAAGGGAGACGAAAAGAAACCAUGGGGGAAGGGACAUCGAAGAAUUGUGCAGCAUCAGGGACCCGAAUAGGAGACUCUUCAUCAUCGAUCGACUGUUUGUUGGGCUUCUUGGGUCUCUUCCAAUGGUGAUCAUCAUUGUUGCUUUGACUGUCCUCAAUACGUUUAGAAGGAUGCUUGGUAGCUAUCAAUAAGCGGUUGUCCUUACCCACAUUGUCAAUACCACCUUUAAUAAGAUGUUUAAAUCGUGUAGAAAGAGACAAAUUAUCCACCAAGCGUUUUGUCCCUCCCUCAAUUUUCUCCACAAGUCGUUCAUCAGUUUCAUCGAGCAUAUCUUCUGAUUUCCACUACCAAAAUUAUGUUCAAUCUUUUUUGUGGUUUUGGAUUUGAUGUGAGGGGGAGUAGGACGAUCUAUCAAAUGUUGUACUCCUUCUUGGAGGUAAUCACCGUGUUUUGCAAGCCACCAGACUUUAUAAUGAGAGGUAACAUGUGUGUCUGGAUUAGGGGCAGACACAGGAAGAUAUACUUGGGAAAGUGUAUUCUCGCGAAUACAAAUCAUCCAACAAUAUCGUACGUUAAAAAAAUUGGCUUCGGGAAUUUCUUCACCUAAGUCAUAUGGCACGUCUUGAUAAAAUCCAAAUUGUCGGCUAAAGCGACAAGGACUAUAAGGCUCAAUAACUGUGGAGGAUCCACAUUGCGAGGAUAGAAAACAAGAGCGAAUGCUUAUGAAAAAUGAAGCAUUCCAACUAUUUAACUCUCCAUCAUCCGUUAAGAGUUCGUCCUUAUUCUUUGUUGGAAGACACACAUGCCAUGACACAUACUUUCCCUUGUGGAUAUGUGUUCGAGCCUCAAGAUUAGUAUAAUAUUUGGCCCCACCUUCACCAGAAAAUUCAACCAUGCAAGGACCCCUAAGACUCCUAGGGGCUUUAUAAUGAGUGUUGAAGUAAAGAGCAAGCCACCCAUGGACAUAGUGAAGAGGAAAACAGGCAUUUGAAUAACCAAGUGAUGAAGUAGAAUCAUGAACUUGGCGUAGGCCACUAUAAAUAUUAGCUAAAACAGGGACGGCAAGGCUAAAUGUGUAGCCUUCCGCCAUGAGGCUAGCAACCUUAAAAACCUCCGGACGAAGGGAAAGUUGCUUAUCAGGGAACACAAACACACAUAGCCAACAAGAGAGAAAUGCCGCUAGAUAGGUUUUGUCCCUAUGAUCAUCAGUGACGCUUAAGUCAAGGAACACUUUGAGUUCAGCUUUAGACCAGUCAGGACGUCUGAUGGGAAUUCCAUCUGGAUUAUGAGUUGAGUGAGGGCGAGAAGUCUUUUUAGGCUUUCGAGGAGGCGGUUUCGAAUACUUUACCUCAGAUCGUGUAACCCAAAAAGAGAUCCAUUCACUUACAGUGAUUUGAGAGUGAUCCAUGCGUUGAGAAACAAUGCGGUAAUAGGCUGCAAAUAAAUGCUCACAACUUCUUGGACAUACAUCAGGUGAUCCUAUUAAGUCUUGGUGGCAAGGAAUGCUUUCUUCAUAAAAUCUACCUUUAAUCGGGAGUCCUCCUAGUAUCCAUAAGUCCCAUAAGGAGAUGGACAUCUCACCAGCUGAGGUGUGAAGAGUGUUUGUUGAAGGACACCAUGCCUCGCAGAAAGCCCGAUCAAUGUCACUGUUGCGAUCAUAUGUAUAUAGGGAAGCCAUCACAACAAUUAAAUAGGGAGGCUCGCUUGAGUACUGCCGUAUUUCUAGCAACAACGAGCUCUAACCACUCCCAAUAAUGAGGAAGAUAGUAAAAUUCUCCAUGUACCUUGAGCACAUUUCCCCAACGAAUUUUUGGGUCGUUUAUAAUUCGACGACCCAACGUUGAUUCUGGAUCCUCAUUUGGAGGCUUGUUGUGAAUCGAAGACUCCAGAAACCAAGAUUUUAAAGAUGAAUUGGGAUUUACAAACCGUUCCUUGGACCAUUUAGGCAAAAAGAUAAAAUUGUCCUCGGGUAUUUGGGAGUCCAUAAUAUUCUCAUAUGUCCCCUCUCUCACAGGAAGAAUGAUCCCUUCCUCUAAAGAUUGAUCUACGUCUUUCAGGAUAAUUAAACACCUUUUGGUCGAGUCAAAAUACUCAGUGAAGUGCACCAUGAUGAAAAGUAGAGUUCCUGCAAAAUAAUAAUAAUAAGAAGAAGAAUAAGAAAUAGAAAAAAAACCAAAACAAAAAAAAAAAAAAAAAAAAAAAAAAAAAAAGAAAGAAAUAAGAAAGAAAUAAGAAAAAAAAAAAGAGGGGGGGGGAAGAAAAAGCAAAUGAAGAUUGAAGCCCGACGAUGACAGAAUCGAUCUCUCCUACUAGGGCGAUAGAUCUGACGGCAAAAGCCCGAUCGUUCCUAGAAGAAGCUCAACAAAGUCAUUUCUGCAAACGAAGAUCGAAGCCCGACGAUGACAGAGUCGAUCUCUCCUACUAGGGCGAUAGAUCUGACGGCAAAAGCCCGAUCGUCCCUAGAAGAAGCUCAACAAAGUCAUUUCUGCAAACGAAGAUUGAAGCCCGACGAUGACAGAGUCGAUCUCUCCUACUAGGGCGAUAGAUCUGACGGCAAAAGCCCGAUCGUCCCUAGAAGAAGCUCAACAAAGUCAUUUCUGCAAACGAAGAUCGAAGCCCGACGAUGACAGAGUCGAUCUCUCCUACUAGGGCGAUAGAUCUGACGGCAAAAGCCCGAUCGUUCCUAGAAGAAGCUCAACAAAGUCAUUUCUGCAAACGAAGAUCGAAGCCCGACGAUGACAGAGUCGAUCUCUCCUACUAGGGCGAUAGAUCUGACGGAAAAAGCCCGAUCGUCCCUAGAAGAAGCUCAACAAAGUCAUUUCUGCAAACGAAGAUCGAAGCCCGACGAUGACAGAGUCGAUCUCUCCUACUAGGGCGAUAGAUCUGACGGCAAAAGCCCGAUCGUCCCUAGAAGAAGCUCAACAAAGUCAUUUCUGCAAACGUUUUGUUGGAUAUUUAUAUAAAGAAAAGAUAAUCCAAUUAUCUUAUUUUAUUUUAAAUUAUUAUUAUUUUUUUGUUGGAUAAAUCUCAAGUUUAACUUUUAUUGAGAUAUUUAAAAUAUUUAAAAAUCUCAACAUUUAAAAAUAUAUAUAUAUAGAUAAAUAUUCUCAAUUUCAAAAUUCAAGUUAAAUUAACUUGCAUAUAUGACCUCCUUUUUAUCAUGAAUUUAAAUCGGAGCCAUAAAUCCAACUUUACCUAAGAUUGAGGACCUGAUUUUUUAUCUCAAAUUAAAAUUGGUCAUUCCAAAUUCUUAUGUAUCCCCAAGAUGAAUUAAGGUAGGGUAGAAACUUUAUCCUUAUUUCAAAAUUAAAAUUUUGGUUAUAUUCCAAAUUUUACUUAAAAAAAAUCAUCAUAUUAAAUUUUUUUUAUCCUCAAAUAAAAUUAAGUUAGGAAUAAAACUUUGAAUUUUUGUAAGGUUUGGCCAUAUUCCAACCCUUUUUAAAUUUAAAUCAAACUCACGUACUAAAUUCAUAGUUUGAUUAAUUUGAUAUAUUGAAUUGAGUAAAAAAAAAAAAAGAAGCUCGUACUUUGACUUCAAAUUUAUCUUUUCCGAGAUUCAUUCACCUAUAUACGUGCAUAAAUCUCGAAAAGGGGGCAUUUGUUGAAUAAGAAAUUUUGAGAUCAAUCACAAGUUGCCACAUCAUUUAUUAAGUUAAUGAUGAAAAGUACAAAUAAUUAAAUUUGGGACUAAUUAAAAUUGACAUAUGCUCCAAAUUAAAGAGUUAAAAAUAAAUAAAAUGGUCAUUCUAAUAUGCCACAUGUUUUCAUAUUAAUAGUUGGAUUAAGUUAAUCAUUUUAGUUCAAUUAAAUAUUAUUUACUUGGACUAAGUUCAAUUAAGCCCAAAAAAUAAGCUUAAUUGAGCCCAAAGACUAAAUAUAACCUAAGUCCAUAUGGUUGAGCCCAUGGGUCUGGUCCAUUGGACCAACUAGGUUCAAACUCAUAAAGCCCACCAGUGAACUCUAUAAAUAGAGGAAUUCUCCUCAUUUGUAGGGGUUGGAAAAUUUUGACUCUAGAAGAUCCAUAGAGAAUUCUUCAAAGAGCUAGAAGACUCCCUAACUCCUGAAGUCGACCAUCCUCGAAGAUUGAAGCUUCUUUAAAGAUACAAGCUUUCUUCCAAGGCUUCAACUUCAAGAACAUCACGUGCUUCGCUUCCUCCAAAUCAAGCUGAAGCAUCCAGUUGAGAGAGAAUCAGAGGAUCAAAUUCUAGAGAUUGAACCGCAUCGCAUCAAAUCAACAAAAAUACAACAUCAACUCCAAGUUCAAGUCCACGAAUUAAAUUUCUCCGGAAAUCUCGUGCGAACAAUUACCAUAAGAAGAAAACUACAUCUUCAUUUUCCAUUUUUAUGUUUGUGGUUUUACUCUCAUACUCUUGAGGUAAACAGAAAAUAUGACAUUUAAUGGGACUCCAAUUUUAUUUCAAUGUAGAGUGGAUACCAUAUUUCUAAAACUCUCCUUUUUAAGUCGAGUGUACCACAAAAUACUUCUUUAUAUUUUGGUAACUCCAUUGUUUUCUAUUUUAUUUGUCUUAUGUAAUUUGAUUUUAAUUAAUUCUUUUUAAUUUUCUUUUAAAUAAUUAAGUAUGAAAACUGACAAUGGAAAAAGAAGUUUUAAAAAAUAUAUUUUUGUUCUUUUUUAAAAAUACAAAAUCACUUACUAAACAUAUAUUACUUUUGUUUUAAUAAGCAAAAACUCAACAAAAGAAAUUUUUUUUUUAAAUAGUUACCAAAUGGAACUUUUGUUUUUUGGUUUUUGAAAACAUUAGUAAAACGUAGAUAGCAAUAGAAAUGAGUUUGGAGAUGAAAAUUAUUAUUAUAGAGGCUUUAUUUCAAAAUACAUACGUUUUUUAAUAACUAUUUGUUUUUCGUUUUAUUACUUAAAAUUUAAAUUGAGUUUAUAAACACUUAUCCCACCUCUAAAAUAUUUCUUGCUUCAAUGUUUAUUUUUUGCUGAUGUGACCAAAAACAAUGUCAAAAUUUAAAAAUAAUAAAAUAAAAUAGUUUUAAAUUUUUUCUACAAAUUUAACUUUUGUACUUAAAAAAGAUUAAAAAAAAAAAAAACAUUGUAAAAUCUUUAUAGCAAAUAUUUCGUUAUUUUUAAUUAAGCGGGGAUAGCUCAGUUGGGAGAGCGUCAGACUGAAGAUCUGAAGGUCACGUGUUCGAUCCACGUUCACCGCAUAGUUUUUAAAUAUAUAUAAUUUUCAAAUUUUUCGGCUACUUGCUACAUGAGAAGUUAGACAAUAAAAGUUAUUGUCUGUAUUUCUUUUAAUGAUUUGUGUACAAGGAAUCGAAUGUACUCUCGUGAAUUGUCUAUGAAUGAAGUUCUCUUUUUGUUUCAUUAAAGUAUGAAUUAUGUGUUUAACUCUGUGUUGUAAGAAGUUGUUCUACGUACUACGCGUUCAACAUAUCAUCUCAUAGGAGGUAUAUAUUCAUGUUGAAUUAGUAUUUGAUUAUUUUUUAGUAGCGAAACUUAUGUGCAUUCUAAGCACGAAUGAUUGUUUGGAUGCAUCGUUAGGUUGUGCAUAACCAAAUUAGUUUUGUUUUUUAAAUUAAUGUCAGUAUAAGUAAAAAUGUUAGUAGCCAACAUGAGUGCAACUCAUCUGACACCUUUAUGUACUAAGUAAGCUAAGUUAGAUGGUGGGAAAAAUAGCUUCCCUUUUUAGUAAGAGUUGCAUAAUUUUUGUUUUCUAAUUUGUUAGCAAUUUUUCAAAAGACGUUUGGUUGCUACGACUCUUAUGAAAAUAACAACUUUGUCUUUGAACUUUAGUCGGUAGUGAUUUUAGUCUAUGUAUUUUAUAUUUUGUAACAAUUUAUGUUUCAAAAUUUAGUAAGUAACAAUUAGUUCCUACACUUUGAAAUUUUUAAUAUAUAUAUAUAUUAACAACAAGAUAAGGAUUGGGAUCAAGAAAAACAUCCAAUCAUCGCGACUAGGUUGAAACAAUUGAGCACCUGCCAUACCCAAACCCACAUAAAGGAAAUUCAUUGCCACAAAAAAGAAUUCGUACUAAGAAGGAGAGGCUAGAGGAAAGUCUUCCAAGGAUAAGCAACGAUCUUGAGAUAAACUAGCUAUUACAAAUAAAAGAAAAUAGGUCUCCAACGAGUAGCAAAACAUAAAAGUCAUCAUGCAAAGUCAAACUACUCUUAAGCAAAUGGAAAGAAAUAUUACAAGUAGACCAAUCAAACCAAAGAGUACUUAAAAAACUAGCAUCCUCGUAUAUAAAAUUUAAAUGUAAGUUUUUUAUCAUUUAACGAAUUCAUCUUUAUCGUUUAUUAAAAAGAUUAUUCUCGAUCAAUUUAUAAAAAAAUCAUGUAUUAGAAAGUUUAUUAUAUUUUAAUAAUAUUAAAUUUUAAAACAAAAUUGGUACUGAUAUAAAUAUAUAUCAUAUUCAUGGUUAUUUUCAUAAAAUUGUUGCUAUUUGGCACUCCAUGAAAGUUGAAGGAAAAGUUUUGUUUGAACUGUUUUUUCUUUUUCAUUGGCACUCAAAAUGACAGUUGAGAAGUAAAAAUGAAAAUUUAGACUCACGAUAUAACAUAAUAAACAUUUUAAUUUGUUUAAAAUUAUAAAAUAUAAAUGUUUAAAAUUAUAAAAUAUUUAGAGUUGUUUUCAAAUAUAAAAAGACUCUUUAAAAUAUUUAUAAAUAUAAUAAAGUUGUACUUUCCAUCACGAAAAGAUUCAAAAUAAACAUAAAUUCAACAUCUAUUUAUGUUGUAUUAAUAGAAUGUUGUUUUGUAAAUACCUAGUCAGUUCAAAUUUUUUUAAAAAAAUUGAGUUGUAUUAAUAGAAUGUUGUUUUGGUUUUAAUUUGGCGUACAAAUUUCUUUUAAUUUUUUCAUUAAUUAUAUUCUAUUAUUAUAUAUAAACAAAUCUCCAAGUGGUAAGGAUUUUAAUUCAUACAAAAUCUUUAUUCUUUUCAAAAGAUUUUAGAAGAUUUCGUUCUUUUAGAAGUUCUGAAAGAUUUUGUUUUCCUUGAAAGUUAGGAUUUCAGAAGAUUUUAAUCCAUAUACGUGGAAGUCAAGAGUCCCAGUUGAUACUUUUUAACAUAUCAUUUUGCAUUGACGUGUUUGUUGUGUGUUGUUGAACACCUUGUUAUUAAUAUUGCCAUUCGCACGUUGAAGGUUAUUUUGAGUAGUUUCUCUCAAAGUAAGGGUGAGGUUAAAAUAUGGAUUGGGUUUGAGUUCAAAAAAUUGAUUUUUUUGGAUUGGAUUGGGUCUCAGGUCUCGGAUUGAAAAAUUCGGUUCAACCCAACCCAACACAACCCAAAUUAAUAUAAUAUAUAUAUUAUUUAAUAAAAAACAAAUUAGGUAUAUAAACUUUGAAUUUAUUAUUGUAUAAAAUUUUGAAUUAUGUAUGUUUGAAAUUUAAACGUAACAAUUUUGAACUUUUUAUAACCAUUAGAAACUAUAAACGAACAAAAACAAAAAGUAUACAAUCCUAAACCCAAUCCAACUCAACCCAUAUUUUACUGGUUGGGUUGGGUUAGAAACUAAAUUCGAAUUAUUCGGGUUGCCAACUCGAAUAACUCGAAAAUAUGGAUUGGGUUUGAGAAUGUCUCCCAACCCAAUCCAAUUUCACCCGUACUCUCAAGGGGAGCUUGGACAUUGAGAUGUAAAGGUGAAGCGUGAAUAUCAAAUGGGAGCUUAGAUCAAAUCCCUUGUUCACACAUAAGUGAUUUAGGAAGAGCCUUAAACAUUUAUCUUGUGAAAGUAGUGUAAUACACGAUAUUUAAUUCUUCAUAAGUUAUGUACUAGUUAUAAACCUCUAGAAUCUGAGUAUUUUUCAAUUUAAGUUAAGACUCCCUCAAACGUAGGUAUGAUUGCACCAAAUUGGAUUACCAACUUGAUUGUGUGAUGUUUUAUUCCUGCCGUUUAUAUGUUAUUUAAUUUGAAAAUAGCGCGCUUUGGUGCAAACAUAACUCUCUGAGUUAAUACUGUGUUUUUCAAAUGUACUUUGGUGCAUAGACGUCAUCUCAAUAAAAUUUAAAUUUUCUUUUAUUAGAGAACAAACAAGCUAUUAAUAGUUAAAUUUAUAAACAGAGAACUUCAAAAUUAAAGUAAGGGAGUUCUAUUACAAUUAAAAUCCAUUUACUAAUAUAUCUAUAUUGAUGACUGUUUAUACAUAGCAACACAGCUUGUUAAAAGUAAAAUAUAAGAUCUGAAGUUCAAAGUAUAGAAAAGUGGAAAAAGCAAGAAACCAACAGAUGCACCACAAAUAUAUAAGGAAAAUUGAAAAAAUGUCAACCUAUAGAAUGUAUCAAAAGAAGAAGGAGAAAAAGAGAUAUAUUUAACAUAUAUACUUCUGUGGUUGCAAAAAGAAAAACAUGUUGUUACCAAAUAAAAGAGAUGAAAGAUAUCAAAAUGAAACCAAGAAAACCAAAUAUUAAGAGAGAGAGAUAUAAUUGGUAAACCCAAAUGUAAAAUUAGUCAUGGGUCCAAGUAAUUAAUUCCCAUUAAUUUCAUUUCAGUAACUUAACAAACAAUAUUCAAUAUAUAUCUCCAAAAUUUUCAUUCCCAUGCAAAAGAGUGAAACAAGAUAAUGCAACUUUUACCACAUAAUUAAAAGCAAAUGGGGAAAGUAUAUGUAAUCAAUUUAUAUUCUAUUACCAUAUACGAUUCUAUUAAAACUAGUAAAAGUUGUUCUGCACCAUUAUCACCUUCAUUUUCUUAAAAUAAUGCUCAUUUUUGCUUACAAUCCAACCAAGCUACAAUUUUUGUACUAACAAAAUUUAAUAAGUUUUCUUCUACAGAAAAAAAACAUCAUAUUAUUAAUCUUAUAGUUCGUCAUGUAUUGUCCUCAAUGUCAACCUAGUUGAGAAGACUUGGUGCCCGAUCAAGUAUCUUUUCUAAGAACGUUUGACUCUUUUUCCUUUAGGACUAUUGUGAUCCAAAAAAAACGAAAAGAAAAGAAAAAACUAAUAAUUUUUUUUUUUGGUCUUUUUCAACUUUAAACUUGCUAAUUCUAUGUUUGAAGAACAAAGUUAAAAAAUGAAGGUACUUAAGGAGGAUAGCCUGUGAACUAUUACUAUAGCUAGGUUACAACACUCAAUAUCAUUAAUUAGCUACACUUAUACCUUAAGCAUAAUUAGUCUUGCAACAACAAUCCAAGAAUUGUAUUUUUCAAUGACCAAAUUAAACAAAGAUAUAUGACAAAAUUAUUGCCUAGUUAGUCUAUAUCCUCUCCUUUAUAAGAACCUCCACAUUUCAUAAUUAUUCUCACACAUCCUAAACAAAGCAUUCUCUCAAUCUCUAAAUUUCCUCAUUUUUCUACAAACAAUGGAGAACAAGGGUAUGAGCACCUCCAUAAUGAAGAUAUCACUUACAUUAUUCCUAGUAAGCAUGGCCAUUUUGGCACCAUCAGCCACGGCUCGGAUGGAGGCAGCAGCACCUAGUCCAUUAGCACUAGAAGAUCUAUCUUUCUCUAACUGCACACCAUUUAUUUUAGAGGCAACAAUGUGUGUAGUAGGCGUGAUAAAAUUCCCGGUUGCUCCUCAUCCUUCGUGUUGCAAAGCUAUUUCUGAUCUCGACGAUUGUUCUCCGGAAACUUACGAACAUAUUCCUGGCAUGGACAUUAUUAAAAAAAUUUGUAGUCUGUGAAGCACUUUCUAUCUUGACAAUCAAAAGAUUCUUCAAGCAAAUUGAACCAUUUUGAAUAAGAAAGUUAUGUUUAUGUGAUUGUGAGUUUUCUUUUUUCCUACAGUACUAUUACAGUACCAUCUAUAAAACUUAAUAAAACAUACAUCUUUAACAAGAUUUAGAGUGUACUUGAAAAUCUCUGCAUAAUCAACAACACUAAAAUCUUCAUAGCCAAUUUAGUUUUAGUACUACAUACACAAAAGAUUUAAGAAACAGAAUUAUAGUCUAUGCAUAACAAUCUAAACUUUCUUACAAGUUUCCAGAUUUCCAGAUUUUCUGUUUUCUAGCAAUAGAGAAAAAAAAGAGUCAAACCAUUUGUUUUCAGGAUUUGUAGAGCAUCAAACUGAUAGAACUAAGUCAUGCACAGCGGAAAAAGAAUCGAAUUUCUACCCUAAUUGCCACAAUUAACAUGUAACCAUAAACUAAUCAAAUUAGGGUUUUAAGAAGUAUUACCUUUGAAGCUUUCAAAAGGUUUGAUGUCUUCUUACCAAUUCUACCCGAGACCACCACUAGUACUCAACUGCUAUCCUCUAGACAAAGAACCGGGUUGUGGGACCCAAUUUUGAUGUAGAAAGUAAUGGAGAUAAAAUGAGAUUGGAAGCUUUCUUUUUUCUUUUGUUGAGAUGAUGAAAAUGAUAAAAGAGGCAAAAGUCCUUCAACAUUUGAAAACAUCUCUAUUUAUAGCCUAAUUACAUGCAAAAAUGCAUGCAAUUCAAUUGCCAAAUC
RNAcentral lists this long non-coding RNA (36419 nucleotides) under Cucumis sativus (cucumber). Its description in RNAcentral is "long non-coding RNA (CSAT_LNC000249)". The stretch from base 31170 to 31242 matches the Rfam family "tRNA". Lineage: Eukaryota; Viridiplantae; Streptophyta; Magnoliopsida; Cucurbitales; Cucurbitaceae. The record is from RNAcentral.